CACGUAGGGGGCGAGCGUUGUCCGGAUUUAUUGGGCGUAAAGAGCUCGUAGGCGGCUCGGUAAGUCGGCUGUGAAAACUCUAGGCUCAACCUAGAGACGCCACCCGAUACUGCUGUGGCUAGAGUCCGGUAGGGGAGCAUGGAAUUCCUGGUGUAGCGGUGAAAUGCGCAGAUAUCAGGAGGAACACCAGUGGCGAAGGCGGUGCUCUGGGCCGGUACUGACGCUGAGGAGCGAAAGCGUGGGGAGCAAACAGG
This 254-nucleotide ribosomal RNA is filed under the name uncultured bacterium. RNAcentral's name for it is "partial 16S ribosomal RNA". It matches the Rfam family "Bacterial small subunit ribosomal RNA", at positions 524 to 776 of the family's 1533-position model. The record is from RNAcentral.